Molecule: long non-coding RNA, 3344 nt
Organism: Passer montanus (Eurasian tree sparrow)
Lineage: Eukaryota; Metazoa; Chordata; Aves; Passeriformes; Passeridae
Exons: 4
Source: RefSeq, a predicted model, not a curated record
CAGCACCUGGCUCCAGCAGGGAGGCUGUCCUUGUUGGAGGGGUCUGAACAGGAGGUUUGGGAUCAGCCAGCCCAAUCCACGAGCAUUUGCACCACAGGGGAAGCAGGGAGCAGCUCUCAGCCUGGUUCUUGCUGGCAACAACAGCCGUUGUGUUUUGACGAGUUAAUAAACAUCUCCCCCAGGAGCGAGGGAGCUCCAGCAUGCUCUGCUUCACCUGUGUUUUACGUCUUGACUAACAGAGUUUGCCGAGCAAGAGGUGUUUUUCUAAUCUGAGAACUCGCUGCCUCACGUUUCCCACCUCUCCCCGGAGCUGCCGCGCUUCCCUGCUGCUUCCCUGAUGCUUCUGUUAUCUCCUGGAGGGCAACCGUGGCUGCAGCCCCCCUCCUCCUUCCUGCCACCCCCAAUCCCACGUUAUCACUUGGAUCCCGUGCCUUGGAGCCGUUUAUCAGCCUCAGAAGUUGAGAUAGCAGGGUUCAUCUUGCUCUGGGACCUGUGUGCUCCCAUGGCACAGGAUUCCUGUGCUGACAAGAUUGCCUUCAUCACCAAAAACACCACGAGCUGCUGCUGAGUGCCAGGGCUCUGCAGGGCUGGCACACCUUGUCCUGCUCCUCCCAAGCACCUCUAUCAUUGCUCCACCAACACAGAGCCUCAUGACCUGUGGGUUUUCACAGCCUUGUGGACCAAAAUCCAAGAUUUCAUCAUCAUUUGCAGACCAUCAUGUGAGGAAGGCAUCAGAAACCUGAAGAGGGACACUGCUCCAGAACCUGCUGUUACUAGGAUGCCCCUCAGGGCUGCAUCCACCUGGAGGUGGCUGCUGCCUUCGUGCCUUUUGGCAAGAAGAAUCCAGUCCUUGGACGUGGCAUGAGGCAGCCCUGGGAAGGUGGAACGUGGUCCGCAGAGCCAAAUUGCCAGUUCCAACUUGUAGAACAUUAUUGCUUCUGAAUUAUGGAUGGUUAUUGCCCCUCCUCGACAAUAAAUUAUUGAGCUGACAUGCUGGAUGGAGAGUGAGGAGCAGGGGGCUUGCUCAUGGCAGGCGGGUCUGGAAUGUGGUAUCUUCACGGGGAGUGGGGGAUGUUUUUUCCCCCUUUCCUUCCUGAGCAAGAGCAUCUCAGCCUGAAGCUGUGGAAACAGCAGAGCCCUGCUCACCCUGUCUCACCCAGCCAACUGUGAGGGCAGCCCUAGCCAAAAAUCCCUGGUGAGGGAUCCUGGAGAAUCCCUGAACUGGAACACGGAUAGAAACUCCAGGGUCCCCUGUCUGCCUAUCCUGCAGCACCAUCACAGGCACUUCUGAGCCCAGUAACCUCUCCUUGGCCUCAGGGGGGUGUGGGACAUGGUUUAUUUAGCUGAUUAGGUGCUAUUUAUCUCCCAGGCUGUGCUGGUCCAGCAAUUCUGGCAAGGUCUGCUGAGCCCUUGUCCGACACGUGCUGCCAACAGCCUUGGGCUUUAGGGACUCCCUGAGGGGGCUGUUCCAUCAUGUUUAACAGACCUUGACAGACCCGUGUGCCCCGUGAGUUUGCCUAAAUGCUUUCUGGGGGCCACUUAGGCUGCAGGUCUCCAUAGCACCCUGUGGCAAUGAGUUCCAUAAUUUAAUCGUGGGUGGCGUGGAAAAAGUGCAGUCUUUUGUUUGUCCCUAAAUCUGCUGCCUGAUAACUCGAUUUGGACACUCCUAGUUCCUCUCUCGGAAGAAACGGGGAAUUAUCACUGCCUCUGCACCUGCUCCACAGCACUGGUGCUUUUAUACUGUCCUGCUGUGGCUUUUCUUUCUCUCUCCUUUAUUCAUCCCUCCUGGCAAUUUCCAAUUCUCCUGCCAGCUCUGCUUCACACGGAGGACGGAGAUGGAAAGAUCACUGCUUUGCUUUUGUGGCUGUGCUGAUCUCCCUCUUCUCUACCAGAUGCUCAGGAGGCACUGCUGACCCCGGUCCAGGUGCUGACAGCUCCCUCUGGAGCAAGCCCUGGUGUCAGUGAACACCCCCAAGGCACGUCCUGGUGGUUUGGGGUGCUCACUCCUUCCCCUGUGUUUCCUGUGUGCACAUGUGGGGCUGUUCCCAGCCACCCAGCCCAGCCCCUGACACAGGAAAAGGUUCCUAACAUGGAAUACCACGUUGGGAAUGGCCACCUUGGGAAUCACCAUCUCCUAACCAGGCUUUCCUGGCCCCAAGGAGCAGCUUUCACCUCCACCCUCCUGUGGGACACAGAUGCUGUGAAGCAGCACCAAGGUGGAGGAGAGAGGUGACACCAGGGUCCAAGAGGACACAGGGGAAUUGGAGGGGAAGGGUUUGUGUCUGUCUCUCCCCAUGCCCAGCAGGAUUUCCAUCUCAUCUCAAGCUGAAGCCAAGGAGACUCUGGAGACAAGGAGAAACUGAAGCGCUUUCCCUAAUCGAAUCACACGCCAGCGUCACUUGUAAAGCUCUGCAAAGCAGAAAGGACUUGGGAGCCACUGAACCACAAACUCCUGCUCCCUCCCCAGUGCCUCGUGGAGAUCCUGCCUCUCUUCUCCAUCUCUUGCCCAUGAGCUCAGCCUGGGAGGGAGCCAGGACUCGGAGCUCCUACCUCAUUCCCCACACCUGCAUACCAGGCAGCAUCCAGGACGUCUCCGUGGCAGAAACAGCAUCCUUGCAGCAGGUCUGUCAGCAAGAAUUUCUGCAGCCUCCUCUGGUGCUCCCAGAGCUCUCAGGUUGGCUAACUGGCAAGGGCACCUGACUGCUCCAGAAGGUUCUCCAAGGUGGAUUUUCAUUUUUUUGGGUGACAGCUUGCCUGCAACACCCCGAUGGAACAGCCUCUGCAUCCCACCGGGGUUUGCACUGCAAGGUGGAUUUUCAUUUUUGGGUGACAGCUUGCAUGCAGCACCCCGAUGGAACAGCUUCUGCAUCCUGCCAGGGUUUGCACUCCCUCUGAAGGCUGGGAGCAGGCUGAGCCCUCGGAGCAAGCCCGUGGCUGGAGCAGCUCACCGAGCCCGGGGAGCUCCGGCGCCAAACCCACAGCCCCGGCUGCACCGGGCUGGCGAGGCACAGGCUGUAAUUACUGCCAGGGCGCCUUCCCCCACUGCCCCGGCCCGAGGAGCUGAGCAGCUGCCAGCAAUUAAAACUAGUUAGCAGUUCCCAUGAUGUUUUAACCAUUUCUAGGGAGCCGUGGCAGCCCCUCCUUCCUCAGAGGGAAAAAAUCGGAUUUGUUGGCACACUGAUGGCACAGACACUGCUGCAGCAUGGGGCUUUGCUGAGUUUGGGGGUCUCUCUUCCCCCAGAAAAGCAUUGCUGAGUCCUUUUGGCCUCCCCCUCUUCCUCCACUGAGCCAGGGUGGGGUUUAAACCCAUUCUGAGGAGGGACUCAGUGGCUGGAAAAAUGCAG